AUUGAACGCUGGCGGCAGGCCUAACACAUGCAAGUCGAGCGGAUGAAGGGAGCUUGCUCCUGGAUUCAGCGGCGGACGGGUGAGUAAUGCCUAGGAAUCUGCCUGGUAGUGGGGGAUAACGUCCGGAAACGGGCGCUAAUACCGCAUACGUCCUGAGGGAGAAAGUGGGGGAUCUUCGGACCUCACGCUAUCAGAUGAGCCUAGGUCGGAUUAGCUAGUUGGUGGGGUAAAGGCCUACCAAGGCGACGAUCCGUAACUGGUCUGAGAGGAUGAUCAGUCACCCUGGAACUGAGACCCGGUCCAGACUCCUACGGGAGGCAGCAGUGGGGAAUAUGGGACAAUGGGCGAAAGCCUGAUCCAGCCAUGCCGCGUGUGUGAAGAAGGUCUUCGGAUUGUAAAGCACUUUAAGUUGGGAGGAAGGGCAGUAAGUUAAUACCUUGCUGUUUUGACGUUACCAACAGAAUAAGCACCGGCUAACUUCGU
This 483-nucleotide ribosomal RNA is filed under the name uncultured bacterium. Its description in RNAcentral is "partial 16S ribosomal RNA". It matches the Rfam family "Bacterial small subunit ribosomal RNA", at positions 30 to 506 of the family's 1533-position model. The record is from RNAcentral.